GCAGGGGUCGGAUAGCCUGGUCAAUUCCGCUGGCUUGAGGUGCCAGUCUCUUAGUGAGUCCGUGGGUUCAAAUCCCACCCCCUGCA
RNAcentral lists this transfer RNA (86 nucleotides) under Candidatus Aenigmatarchaeota archaeon. RNAcentral's name for it is "tRNA-Leu". It matches the Rfam family "tRNA". Rfam says of the family: Transfer RNA (tRNA) molecules are approximately 80 nucleotides in length. Their secondary structure includes four short double-helical elements and three loops (D, anti-codon, and T loops). Lineage: Archaea; Nanobdellati; Candidatus Aenigmatarchaeota. The record is from RNAcentral.